CCUACGGGAGGCAGCAGUGGGGAAUCUUGCGCAAUGGCCUAACGGCUGACGCAGCGACGCCGCGUGUGGGAUGAAGCUCUUCGGAGUGUAAACCACUGUUGCCCGGGACGAACAGCUCGAUUUCUCGAGCCUGACGGUACCGGGUGAGGAAGCACCGGCUAACUCCGUGCCAGCAGCCGCGGUAAUACGGGGGGUGCGAGCGUUGUCCGGAAUCACUGGGCGUAAAGGGCGCGUAGGUGGUUUGAUAAGGGUGUGGUGAAAGUCCGGGGCUCAACCCCGGAUCUGCCGUGCCGACUGUCAAACUCGAGGACUGUAGAGGCAGACGGAAUUCCGGGUGUAGCGGUGGAAUGCGUAGAGAUCCGGAGGAAGACCGGUGGCGAAGGCGGUCUGCUGGGCAGUUUCUGACACUGAGGCGCGACAGCGUGGGGAGCAAACAGGAUUAGAUACCCUGGUAGUCCACGCCGUAAACGAUGGGUACUAGGUGCCUGGGGGAGCGACCCUCUGGGUGCCGGCGCUAAUGCAGGAAGUACCCCGCCUGGGGAGUACGACCGCAAGGUUGAAACUCAAAGGAAUUGACGG
RNAcentral lists this ribosomal RNA (579 nucleotides) under uncultured bacterium. RNAcentral describes it as "bacterial SSU rRNA". It matches the Rfam family "Bacterial small subunit ribosomal RNA", at positions 338 to 916 of the family's 1533-position model. The record is from RNAcentral.